Molecule: ribosomal RNA, 466 nt
Filed under: uncultured bacterium
Lineage: Bacteria
Description: partial 16S ribosomal RNA
Rfam family: Bacterial small subunit ribosomal RNA
Source: RNAcentral
GAUGAACGCUGGCGGCGUGCUUAACACAUGCAAGUCGAACGAUGAAGCCCAGCUUGCUGGGUGGAUUAGUGGCGAACGGGUGAGUAACACGUGAGUAACCUGCCCUUAACUCUGGGAUAAGCCAGGGAAACUGGGUCUAAUACCGGAUAGGAGCGUCCACCGCAUGGUGGGUGUUGGAAAGAUUUAUCGGUUUUGGAUGGACUCGCGGCCUAUCAGCUUGUUGGUGAGGUAAUGGCUCACCAAGGCGACGACGGGUAGCCGGCCUGAGAGGGUGACCGGCCACACUGGGACUGAGACACGGCCCAGACUCCUACGGGAGGCAGCAGUGGGGAAUAUUGCACAAUGGGCGCAAGCCUGAUGCAGCGACGCCGCGUGAGGGAUGACGGCCUUCGGGUUGUAAACCUCUUUCAGUAGGGAAGAAGCGAAAGUGACGGUACCUGCAGAAGAAGCACCGGCUAACUACGUG